UUUUUGAGAAAGCAAUCAUGCUGGGGGUCUGGCUCUCGAGAUUCGGGGAGCAGUGUCUCUUCGAUUUUUGAGAAAGUAAUCAUGUUGGGAGUCUAGCUCUCGAGAUUCGGAGGGCGGUGCCUCUUCGAUUUUGGAGCAAGCAAUCUUGUUGGGAGUGUUUUCUCGAAUGUGAGUAAAGGUUGGGCAUGUUUGCUAGUCUACCUUGCCACGAAGCACAGAGGUUGACACACAGGGACUUUCCAAUUAUCCAGCAAUGGUACUGUUCCUUUACCCUCUCUUCGAUUUUUAAGAAAGUAGUCAUGUUGGGAGUCUGGCUCUCGAGAUUCGGAGGACGGUGCCUCUUCGAUUUUGGAGCAAGCAAUCUUAUUGGGAGUGUUUUCUCGAAUGUGAGUAAAGGUUGGGCAUGUUUGCUAGUCUACCUUGCCACGAAGCACAGAGGUUGAC
Molecule: long non-coding RNA, 444 nt
Filed under: Malus domestica (apple)
Lineage: Eukaryota; Viridiplantae; Streptophyta; Magnoliopsida; Rosales; Rosaceae
Description: long non-coding RNA (MDOM_LNC009985)
Source: RNAcentral